This 219-nucleotide non-coding RNA is filed under the name Sporosarcina sp. RNAcentral's name for it is "T-box sequence". It matches the Rfam family "T-box leader". From Rfam's summary of the family: Uncharged tRNA acts as the effector for transcription antitermination of genes in the T-box leader family. Lineage: Bacteria; Bacillati; Bacillota; Bacilli; Caryophanales; Caryophanaceae. The record is from RNAcentral.
AUAAAUGCGAAGAGUAGGAAAGUACAUGUGAACCGUUUUCUUCAGAGAGGGUGCGAUUGGUGAGACGUGCCUGGAAACAGCAGAUGGAAGUCCCCUAUGAGCAGUUUCUGUGAAAUAAGAGUAGCAGGAACCGGUGAAGACCGUUACCAAAUCAUGAAGAUGUAAUGCUCUUUAGCAUUCAUAAAUAAAGGUGGUACCACGAGCUCCUUCGUCCUUUUA